ACGCGCUGGCGGGACUCGGUGAAAUUCCGAACCGGCGGUGAUCCAGGGCAACCUGGUAAGCCCGCGACCCGGACGACCUCGUGUCGUGCGGUGGACCUGGUGAGAAUCCGGGGCCGACGGUCACAGUCCGGAUGGGAGACAGCGCGC
Molecule: non-coding RNA, 147 nt
Filed under: Actinomycetota bacterium
Lineage: Bacteria; Bacillati; Actinomycetota
Description: Actinobacteria bacterium FMN sequence
Rfam family: FMN riboswitch aptamer (RFN element)
About the family: The RFN element is a highly conserved domain that is found frequently in the 5'-untranslated regions of prokaryotic mRNAs that encode for flavin mononucleotide (FMN) biosynthesis and transport proteins. This element is a metabolite-dependent riboswitch that directly binds FMN in the absence of proteins. In Bacillus subtilis, the riboswitch most likely controls gene expression by causing premature transcription termination within the 5' untranslated region of the ribDEAHT operon and precluding access to the ribosome-binding site of ypaA mRNA.
Source: RNAcentral